CCUACGGGGGGCUGCAGUGGGGAAUAUUGGACAAUGGGGGGAACCCUGAUCCAGCCAUGCCGCGUGUGUGAAGAAGGCCCUCGGGUUGUAAAGCACUUUCAGUGAGGAAGAACGCCUGGUGGUUAAUACCCAUCAGGAAAGACAUCACUCACAGAAGAAGCACCGGCUAACUCCGUGCCAGCAGCCGCGGUAAUACGGAGGGUGCGAGCGUUAAUCGGAAUUACUGGGCGUAAAGCGCGCGUAGGUGGCUUGAUAAGCCGGUUGUGAAAGCCCCGGGCUCAACCUGGGAACGGCAUCCGGAACUGUCAAGCUAGAGUGCAGGAGAGGAAGGUAGAAUUCCCGGUGUAGCGGUGAAAUGCGUAGAGAUCGGGAGGAAGACCAGUGGCGAAGGCGGCCUUCUGGACUGACACUGACACUGAGGUGCGAAAGCGUGGGUAGCAAACAGGAUUAGAUACCCGUGUAGUC
RNAcentral lists this ribosomal RNA (465 nucleotides) under Vreelandella stevensii. RNAcentral's name for it is "partial 16S ribosomal RNA". It matches the Rfam family "Bacterial small subunit ribosomal RNA", at positions 338 to 795 of the family's 1533-position model. Lineage: Bacteria; Pseudomonadati; Pseudomonadota; Gammaproteobacteria; Oceanospirillales; Halomonadaceae. The record is from RNAcentral.